AUUCCAGCUCCAAUAGCGUAUAUUAAAGUUGUUGCAGUUAAAAAGCUCGUAGUUGGAUUUGGGACUGGAGUCGUCGGGUCGGCCGCGAGGUCUGUUACUUGGCGGCUCUGUCAUUACAAUUCCCUGGGACCUGUCGUGUGCUACGCUGUACGCGGCACGGGACUUGGGACGUUUACUUUGAAAAAAUUAGAGUGUUCAAAGCAGGCUUUUUAAGCCCGAAUACAUGAGCAUGGAAUAAUGGAAUAGGAUUGCGGUUCUAUUUUGUUGGUUUCUACGACCGCAGUAAUGAUUAAGAGGGACGAUUGGGGGCAUCCGUAUUUCGUUGUCAGAGGUGAAAUUCUUGGAUUUACGAAAGGCGAACAACUGCGAAAGCAUUUGCCAAGAGUGUUUUCAUUA
Molecule: ribosomal RNA, 396 nt
Filed under: Obelia sp.
Lineage: Eukaryota; Metazoa; Cnidaria; Hydrozoa; Leptothecata; Obeliidae
Description: partial small subunit ribosomal RNA
Rfam family: Eukaryotic small subunit ribosomal RNA
Source: RNAcentral